GGGUUGUGAGGUUAAGCGACUAAGCGUACACGGUGGAUGCCCUGGCAGUCAGAGGCGAUGAAGGGCGUGCUAAUCUGCGAUAAGCGCCGGUAAGGUGAUAUGAACCGUUAUAACCGGCGAUACCCGAAUGGGGAAACCCAGUGUGACUCGUCACACUAUCAUUAACUGAAUCCAUAGGUUAAUGAGGCGAACCGGGGGAACUGAAACAUCUAAGUACCCCGAGGAAAAGAAAUCAACCGAGAUUCCCCCAGUAGCGGCGAGCGAACGGGGAGGAGCCCAGAGCCUGAAUCAGCAUGUGUGUUAGUGGAAGCGUCUGGAAAGGCGCGCGAUACAGGGUGACAGCCCCGUACACAAAAGCGCAUGUGCUGUGAGCUCGAUGAGUAGGGCGGGACACGUGGUAUCCUGUCUGAAUAUGGGGGACCAUCCUCCAAGGCUAAAUACUCCUGACUGACCGAUAGUGAACCAGUACCGUGAGGGAAAGGCGAAAAGAACCCCGGCGAGGGGAGUGAAAAAGAACCUGAAACCGUGUACGUACAAGCAGUGGGAGCACAGGUUUACCUGUGUGACUGCGUACCUUUUGUAUAAUGGGUCAGCGACUUAUAUUCUGUAGCAAGGUUAACCGAAUAGGGGAGCCGGAGGGAAACCGAGUCUUAAUUGGGCGUUAAGUUGCAGGGUAUAGACCCGAAACCCGGUGAUCUAGCCAUGGGCAGGUUGAAGGUUGGGUAACACUAACUGGAGGACCGAACCGACUAAUGUUGAAAAAUUAGCGGAUGACCUGUGGCUGGGGGUGAAAGGCCAAUCAAACCGGGAGAUAGCUGGUUCUCCCCGAAAGCUAUUUAGGUAGCGCCUCGUGAAUUCAUCUCCGGGGUAGAGCACUGUUUCGGCUAGGGGGCCAUCCCGGCUUACCAACCCGAUGCAAACUGCGAAUACCGGAGAAUGUUAUCACGGGAGACACACGGCGGGUGCUAACGUCCGUCGUGAAGAGGGAAACAACCCAGACCGCCAGCUAAGGUCCCAAAGUCAUGGUUAAGUGGGAAACGAUGUGGGAAGGCCCAGACAGCCAGGAUGUUGGCUUAGAAGCAGCCAUCAUUUAAAGAAAGCGUAAUAGCUCACUGGUCGAGUCGGCCUGCGCGGAAGAUGUAACGGGGCUAAACCAUGCACCGAAGCUGCGGCAGCGACACUGUGUGUUGUUGGGUAGGGGAGCGUUCUGUAAGCCUGUGAAGGUGUGUCGUGAGGCAUGCUGGAGGUAUCAGAAGUGCGAAUGCUGACAUAAGUAACGAUAAAGCGGGUGAAAAGCCCGCUCGCCGGAAGACCAAGGGUUCCUGUCCAACGUUAAUCGGGGCAGGGUGAGUCGACCCCUAAGGCGAGGCCGAAAGGCGUAGUCGAUGGGAAACAGGUUAAUAUUCCUGUACUUGGUGUUACUGCGAAGGGGGACGGAGAAGGCUAUGUUGGCCGGGCGACGGUUGUCCCGGUUUAAGCGUGUAGGUGUGUGUUCCAGGUAAAUCCGGUUCACUUUAACACUGAGGCGUGAUGACGAGGCACUACGGUGCUGAAGCAACAAAUGCCCUGCUUCCAGGAAAAGCCUCUAAGCAUCAGGUAACAUCAAAUCGUACCCCAAACCGACACAGGUGGUCAGGUAGAGAAUACCAAGGCGCUUGAGAGAACUCGGGUGAAGGAACUAGGCAAAAUGGUGCCGUAACUUCGGGAGAAGGCACGCUGACACGUAGGUGAAGUGAUUUACUCAUGGAGCUGAAGUCAGUCGAAGAUACCAGCUGGCUGCAACUGUUUAUUAAAAACACAGCACUGUGCAAACACGAAAGUGGACGUAUACGGUGUGACGCCUGCCCGGUGCCGGAAGGUUAAUUGAUGGGGUCAGCGCAAGCGAAGCUCCUGAUCGAAGCCCCGGUAAACGGCGGCCGUAACUAUAACGGUCCUAAGGUAGCGAAAUUCCUUGUCGGGUAAGUUCCGACCUGCACGAAUGGCGUAAUGAUGGCCAGGCUGUCUCCACCCGAGACUCAGUGAAAUUGAACUCGCUGUGAAGAUGCAGUGUACCCGCGGCAAGACGGAAAGACCCCGUGAACCUUUACUAUAGCUUGACACUGAACAUUGAGCCUUGAUGUGUAGGAUAGGUGGGAGGCUUUGAAGCGUGGACGCCAGUCUGCGUGGAGCCGACCUUGAAAUACCACCCUUUAAUGUUUGAUGUUCUAACGUGGACCCGUAAUCCGGGUUGCGGACAGUGUCUGGUGGGUAGUUUGACUGGGGCGGUCUCCUCCUAAAGAGUAACGGAGGAGCACGAAGGUUGGCUAAUCCUGGUCGGACAUCAGGAGGUUAGUGCAAUGGCAUAAGCCAGCUUGACUGCGAGCGUGACGGCGCGAGCAGGUGCGAAAGCAGGUCAUAGUGAUCCGGUGGUUCUGAAUGGAAGGGCCAUCGCUCAACGGAUAAAAGGUACUCCGGGGAUAACAGGCUGAUACCGCCCAAGAGUUCAUAUCGACGGCGGUGUUUGGCACCUCGAUGUCGGCUCAUCACAUCCUGGGGCUGAAGUAGGUCCCAAGGGUAUGGCUGUUCGCCAUUUAAAGUGGUACGCGAGCUGGGUUUAGAACGUCGUGAGACAGUUCGGUCCCUAUCUGCCGUGGGCGCUGGAGAACUGAGGGGGGCUGCUCCUAGUACGAGAGGACCGGAGUGGACGCAUCACUGGUGUUCGGGUUGUCAUGCCAAUGGCACUGCCCGGUAGCUAAAUGCGGAAGAGAUAAGUGCUGAAAGCAUCUAAGCACGAAACUUGCCCCGAGAUGAGUUCUCCCUGAGACUUAGAGUCUCCUGAAGGAACGUUGAAGACGACGACGUUGAUAGGCCGGGUGUGUAAGCGCAGCGAUGCGUUGAGCUAACCGGUACUAAUGAACCGUGAGGCUUAACCUUACAACGCCGAAGCUGUU
This 2930-nucleotide ribosomal RNA is filed under the name Salmonella enterica subsp. enterica serovar Newport. RNAcentral describes it as "bacterial LSU rRNA". It matches the Rfam family "Bacterial large subunit ribosomal RNA". The record is from RNAcentral. Lineage: Bacteria; Pseudomonadati; Pseudomonadota; Gammaproteobacteria; Enterobacterales; Enterobacteriaceae.